UUAUAAUAUGGAUAAAAGAAAUAACUGUGAUAUUUCUUCAAGACAUAAGAGACGAUUAGCACAAGAAGAAACGAAAAAAGAUUAUUUGUUACUAGAAUCGUCAAGCAGUAAUGUGACUGAUUUUGAUGGUCCAUCUGUCGAAUAUAUAAAAAAAUGUCGAAUUGAAAAUGUAAAUGAUCAAUUAUCAAUUUCAACAUCACCUUUUAAUAUUGAUCACAAGCACAUCAAUCAGUAUUCGUCAAACAUUAGUAGCAAUAAUAAAGAAGAAUUUUCGUCGGAUGAAAUACAUAACUCAUCAGAAAUGGACACAGAUCACGAAGAUUUGAUUGAUAUUGAGGAAAAAAAAGAAGAAAUGUUAUCGUUAUUGUAUGACUCUGAUGAUUCCAGUGACGCUGCAGAGGAUAUGGAUAGUGAAUAUAUUGACGAUGAAGAUAAAAGUAAGGAUAAUGAAUUGUUGCACAAUCUUCGAAAUUGGUCUUUUGCAUUUAAAAUUAGGCAUAACGCAAUUAAUGCUCUGAUUAGAAUUCUGAGGCAUACUCCACAUUCACAAUUCAAUACAUUGCCGAAGAAUGCAAGAACGCUUCUAAAAACACCUAGAAAAACUGCUGAAAUAGUUACAUUAUCUGGAGGAUCGUAUUAUCAUUUUGGUGUUUCGAAUACUUUAGAAGUACUCCUGCUACACUAUAAAAACGAUAUUUCAAACCAAGUGUACAUGGUCGGACUAUUUUUUGGUCAAAAGAAACCAAACAAUGCCAAUGAAUUCUUACAACAAUUUGUGAAAGAAUUAAUACCAUUAAUACAGAGAGGAUAUCAUUCAGACAUGUUAAACUGUGAUAUUAAAGUUAAUAUUAAAGCCAUUAUUUGCGAUGCUCCAGCAAAAUCUUUUAUUUUAAAUGUUAAAGGACAUAAUGGUUAUUCAAGCUGUACUAAAUGUACCAUUAGCGGAGAUUACAUUAACUCUAAAAUGUGCUUUCUUUAUGAAAAAAGAUCAAGUGCACUCAGAACUGACGAAGAUUUUGUACAUCAGACAGACUCUGAUUAUCAUCAAGGAGAAUUGCCCACAAUUUUGCUCUCUGUGCCUCAUUUAGGAUUAGUGUCGAAUAUUGCUCUUGACUACAUGCACUUGAUUUGUUUGGGCAUUGUAAAAAAAAUUAUAUUGUUGUGGAUAAGUGGACCAUUAGCUGUUCGCAUUCGUGCUCAAGCAAAAGAUAAUAUUUCGCAAGCACUUAUUAAUUUAAGAAGUUCUGUGCCCAAAGAAUUUUCAAGACGACCUCGAAGUUUAAAUGAAGUAGCAUACUGGAAAGCCACAGAAUUUCGGCAAUUUUUAUUAUAUACUGGACCUAUUGUUUUAAAAACAGUUUUAAAUAGAGAUAUAUACACACACUUUUUGACCUUACAUGUGGCUGUAUCAAUACUCAUCAGUCCAAUGCUAAUAGUAAAUAAAAACAAUGUAGAUUAUGCAGAAAAACUAUUGCAACAUUUUGUUGAAUCAUUUGAGAAAAUUUAUGGCAAGGAAUAUAUGUCUCAUAAUGUACAUAAUUUGUUACAUCUCUCUAAUGAAACUCGAAAAUUUGGAUCACUUGAUUCUUUUAGCUCAUUUAGAUUUGAAAACUUUUUACAAAUUUUAAAAAGUUUUCUGUGUAAAGCAGAAAAACCACUGCAGCAAGUUAUACGACGAUACAUGGAAAGAAGACAAAAUCGAUAUGAGAGUAUGAAGAAUAAAUCAUUUCAUUCACUUCAUAAAUUUGAAUUAAAAGGAAAACAUACUACUGGUAUAGUGGCCGAUGAAAUUCAAGAUAUUAUUAAAUCGCAAUACAGGAAACUAUUAUUAUUAGAAAAUUAUGAAAUCGACUGCAACAGCGAAGCAAAUAAUUGUAUCAUGACAAAAGAUGGAAACUUACUUACAGUUAAGAAUGUCGUGAAAUGUACUAAUAAUAUAACGUAUGUUGUUGGUUAUCAAUUGAGGAAAUUAGAUGUUUUAUAUUCACGACCAUUUUCAUCAGAGAAUUUGGGCAUUAAUGCUGUUGAAGAAAUAAAUAGUAAUGUGAUAUGUUAUCCUUUGAAUGAAAUACAAGGAAAGAUGUGGAAAAUUAAAUUUAAUUCAAAAUUAUAUGUCAUUCCUAUUCGACACGUUUGUGGAUAAUAAAACUACUUUUGAAGCGCAAUAUAACAUUCUAACAAUAUAAACAUAAUAUAAGAACACAUGAUUAUCGUAAUGCGAUAAUUGCAAAUAUGAACAAGAAGAGUUAAAAAGUUAAUAUUUCAUUCAAUUUUCUCUCAAUUAUUAUUUAUGAUGUUUGCAAUAAUGGCAUGAUUGACAAUAUUCUGAUUUCAAUAAAUCGAUAGUUCGAACGACUAACUAUUGCGACCAACUUUAUUGCUUUCGUCCGACUAAUAUCCAACUUGUGUCUGCUGGUUGCUGCAUCUCGUCAAGGUUACAAUAAAUGAAUAAGUUAAAAGUGUGCAUAUAUGAACCAGAAGGAUUUGCAUAUUUGUGACCAUUCGGCGAUACUUGUCCAUAUUCAUCCUUUGUUGUCUUUGUUUUUUUCUUGUCUUCGUCUCAUUCUCGAAAUUCGAGAAUUUGUAGAAAGGUUAUGUUUUGAACAUUUUAAGCCAUAGUUUUCAAUACUUCUGAGACGCGAGCAGUUUCCUUCCU
RNAcentral lists this unclassified non-coding RNA (2656 nucleotides) under Camponotus floridanus (Florida carpenter ant). Its description in RNAcentral is "uncharacterized LOC105249565, transcript variant X2". Lineage: Eukaryota; Metazoa; Arthropoda; Insecta; Hymenoptera; Formicidae. The record is from RNAcentral.